This 573-nucleotide non-coding RNA is filed under the name Pongo abelii (Sumatran orangutan). The record is from RNAcentral. Lineage: Eukaryota; Metazoa; Chordata; Mammalia; Primates; Hominidae.
GUGGUUUUAGAGCUCCCAGAACUUUGCACAUAACUCCCUAUGUCAGAGUGGGCAGAAAGGAUGGAAUGUCAGCUCUGGGGAGAAUCUAAAGAUCUAAGGAACUGAGUUGUGAAAAUCAGCUUUGAGGUCUUCAGUUAUUUGCUGGACAAUUCCCUGAUGAUAUUAAAGCACCCAGUAGAAGAAUGUGCCUUAUCAAAAACAUAUCAAUCAUGAUGAUCCUUUAAAAUAUAUUUAUUAGUUGAUUGCUUACGGCUGUUUUAGACUAAAAGACCAACACAAAAUAAGAAUAGACUAGUAGUGCUUAUACAUGCUAAAUAACAAUCAAGAAUUCAUAUUAAUGCACAUAACUUUUUGCAGUUAUUGUCAGAAGCAUACUUUGUGCAUAUGGCAUCCAUUCUUAAACUUUUAAACUUCACAGCUACAGCAUGUCUAUUGUCUUUACAACUCCAGUUUUCUCUCAUAAAGACCCAGAUGACCUUCCGGGUACUAUAUAAGCCCCAGACUUUCAAACUGGCUUUACUUACAUACUAUAAUAGAUAUUUUAAUAAAGACCAGUAAGAUACAUAAAGAGAA